CAGGGGGGCACCUCAUGGUUCCCAACUCUCCUAGAAGCAAAAAGGGAUUCAAAGAGGCCCACUUGAUAACCUGUCAGGCUGCAUAGCAGUGAGGCUUCCUCCUUUAGUAGGUUCUUGAAAUUGUAUAUCUAUAUACAAAUAGAUAAAUAUACAUAUACAAUAUACAGGGUGGCUGCAGGUUUGCUACAACAAGGCAGUGGGUGAAGGUGACGGGUGUGCAGUUGUGGACUCUGGAACCCCCCAAGGGGCUCCCCUGCUGGAUGCAGAGCUGGAGCCUUUGGGCGGCUGACCAAGACAAAAGGGAAGAGGGAUGAGACAGAAAGCAGGGCCGCAAGGAUGCAAGGCCUUGUCUACUAAGUCCUGCUGUCCCAUGUAGGCCAUCACCCCUGACCUAUCUGAGCCUCAGUUUCUCUGAAAGGAAAAUGGGUCAUCAAGAGACAAAUACACAAGAGGAAAGGAGAAAUCAUGAGGGCAAAAUGUCCAGGGUGAAUGGAGGGAAGGAAAAAGUUACGGAGAUCAAGUAGAACCACAGACAGGAGAGAGCCUUUGGCGAGACAGGGGCAGAGAGCACCGAUGUCGGGGAAAAGAAAACUACCUGGCAAGUUAGGAUACAGCAGGAACGGUCUCCAAGACAGCCAUUGAAAAUGCUCCCAAAUGCUGGAGACCUCAGCUCCUGCACAAAGACAAAACCACAGAGGAAAGCACUCAGAAAGGAGCAGGAUGAGGGAAUGCAAAGAAAAGGCAAAUGAGGGAAGCGUUGAAAGAUACAGCCUUGAUACAAUGGCCACAAAGAAGAGCUCUUCACAAUAGAAGCUUGUUAUGUUUGCUUUGCCAUCAUCCACCAUAAAGCCUGGAAUACAACCUUCUUCCCUUUUCAGUAAACAUCUACUGAG
Molecule: long non-coding RNA, 893 nt
Filed under: Homo sapiens (human)
Lineage: Eukaryota; Metazoa; Chordata; Mammalia; Primates; Hominidae
Description: long non-coding RNA NONHSAT172001.1
Source: RNAcentral